CCCGCUGAAUUUAAGCAUAUUAAUAAGCGGAGGAAARGAAACUAACAAGGAUUCCCUCAGUAACGGCGAGUGAAGCGGGAAGAGCUCAAAUUUGAAAUCUCCGAUGCUUGCAUCGGCGAGUUGUAGUUGCGAGAAGCACUUUCUAGGCGGAUCGACGGUGCCUAAGUUGCUUGGAACGGCACGUCGCAGAGGGUGACAACCCCGUCUGUGGCGCCGCCGGCCGCCGACGAUGUGCUUUCGAAGAGUCGGGUUGUUUGGGAAUGCAGCCCAAAACGGGUGGUAAACUCCAUCUAAAGCUAAAUACUGGCGUGAGACCGAUAGCGAACAAGUACCGUGAGGGAAAGAUGAAAAGAACUUUGAAAAGAGAGUUAAAAAGUACGUGAAACCGUCGAAAGGGAAACGARUGGACUCAGCAAUGCGCCCUCUGAGAUUCAGCCGGUGGGUGGCGGCGGCGCCGGGUUUGCGGAUCUGAAUGGACCGCGGCCUGGCGCCCGCCUCGUCUCCCCGCCGUCGCACUUCUCUGGGGCGCGCGUCAACGUGGGUUGGGACUGGGUCUGAAAGGCGCCGGGAAGGUAGGUGUGGGCCUUCGGGUCCGUUCUGUUACAGCCCGGUUCUCUCAUGGCUCGGGCCCGACCGAGGAGCGACACGGGGCAUGCCUCCUGUGGCUAGGGUCCCGCCCUUCCGGCCGGCUGUCCAGUGCGGUGGACUGCUUGCAGUGCUCCGCGACGGCUGCCGGUCGUUGGGGUGGUGAUCUCGUACCAUGCCCCUAGGAUGUUGGCGGUCAUAYGGGUGC
This 793-nucleotide ribosomal RNA is filed under the name Alveopora daedalea. RNAcentral describes it as "partial large subunit ribosomal RNA". Lineage: Eukaryota; Metazoa; Cnidaria; Anthozoa; Scleractinia; Poritidae. The record is from RNAcentral.